UGGUGUUUUUUUUUUCUCCUCCUCCUCUCGGUGUGGACACCUUAAAAAUACAUAUAUAUAUAUGUGUGUGUGUGUGUAUAUAUAUAUAUAUAAUCGAUAACUAUACGCGUGUACACACACACACACUCACACAGGCAGGGAUGUGCGCGUAUAUACACGCGGCGGUAUAAAACACACGGGAGGAGGAGAGACAAUCCCGGGUAAAUUCCUCGUGCCUCCAUUCCCUGGGAAAGGGGGGAGCAGCCGCUCGCAAGCAUCACCCUUCUGUGGCAAGAGGCACCCGAAAGGAAAACUUCUGCAUAUCAAUGCACUGCCAAUGGGUUGUGUCCUUUGUUGUGACCUCAUGGUUUAACUGGGAAUAAAGAUGAGUAUAAGCAGUGAUGAGGUUAACUUCCUGGUAUAUAGAUACUUGCAAGAGUCAGGGUUUUCCCAUUCAGCAUUUACCUUUGGUAUAGAGAGCCAUAUCAGCCAGUCUAAUAUAAAUGGUGCUCUGGUGCCACCAGCUGCUUUGAUUUCCAUCAUCCAGAAAGGUCUGCAGUAUGUAGAGGCAGAAGUCAGUAUUAAUGAGGAUGGUACCUUGUUUGAUGGUAGGCCGAUAGAGUCUCUCUCACUGAUAGAUGCAGUGAUGCCUGAUGUGGUACAGACAAGACAACAGGCCUACAGAGACAAACUUGCACAACAGCAGGCAGCAGCUGCUGCAGCUGCAGCCACCACCAACCAACAGGGAUCAGCGAAAAAUGGAGAAAAUACUGCAAAUGGAGAGGAGAACGGAGCACACACUAUAGCAAAUAAUCACACGGAUAUGAUGGAAGUAGAUGGAGAUGUGGAAAUCCCUCCCAACAAGGCAGUGGUGCUGCGUGGCCACGAGUCCGAGGUGUUCAUCUGUGCCUGGAAUCCCGUUAGUGACCUUUUGGCCUCAGGGUCUGGCGAUUCGACAGCGCGGAUCUGGAACCUGAGCGAGAACAGCACGAGCGGCUCCACGCAGCUGGUGCUGCGGCACUGCAUCCGGGAAGGGGGGCAGGAUGUGCCCAGCAACAAGGACGUCACCUCGCUGGACUGGAACAGUGAAGGUACACUUCUAGCAACUGGGUCUUAUGAUGGCUUUGCGAGGAUAUGGACUAAAGAUGGUAAUCUUGCCAGCACCUUAGGGCAACAUAAAGGUCCUAUAUUUGCGUUAAAAUGGAACAAGAAAGGAAACUUCAUUUUAAGUGCAGGAGUGGACAAGACCACAAUUAUUUGGGAUGCCCACACUGGCGAAGCCAAGCAGCAGUUUCCUUUUCAUUCUGCACCAGCAUUAGAUGUUGAUUGGCAGAGUAACAACACAUUUGCCUCUUGCAGUACAGACAUGUGUAUUCACGUUUGUAAACUAGGACAAGAUAGGCCCAUCAAAACCUUCCAGGGUCACACAAAUGAAGUAAAUGCAAUCAAAUGGGAUCCAACUGGUAAUCUGCUGGCAUCCUGCUCUGACGACAUGACUCUAAAGAUCUGGAGUAUGAAACAAGACAGUUGUGUCCAUGAUUUACAAGCACACAACAAAGAAAUUUAUACUAUCAAAUGGAGUCCUACAGGACCAGGAACAAAUAAUCCAAAUGCCAAUCUUAUGUUAGCAAGUGCAUCCUUUGAUUCUACUGUUAGGUUAUGGGAUGUAGACAGAGGAAUUUGUAUUCAUACUCUGACAAAACAUCAAGAACCUGUGUACAGUGUAGCUUUCAGUCCUGAUGGCAGGUACCUGGCCAGUGGCUCCUUUGAUAAAUGUGUACACAUCUGGAAUACACAGACAGGUGCCCUAGUUCACAGUUAUCGGGGAACAGGAGGGAUUUUUGAGGUUUGCUGGAAUGCAGCAGGAGACAAAGUUGGAGCAAGUGCUUCAGAUGGUUCAGUUUGUGUACUAGACCUCCGGAAAUAGCGCUCUUAGUUGGAAGCCAUGGACCGACUAUGAAUGUGUACAUAGCCAAAAUGACUGUCCCUGACCCAUGUACUGCUAUAGUCCCAAUCGAACCAUGGCCAGUCCACUACAGCCAAAUGUAAAAGAAAUAUAUACAUAUACUGUAUAUAAAAAAAAAAAAAAAAAGGAGAAAAAAAAAAAAGAGGAGAAAGAAAAAAAAAAUUACACCCUGAAGAGGAUGACAGAGUUUUGUCACAGCUUGUGAAUCCUGUUCACCAAGUGCUGGAAUCUGCUGUGCCCCAAAAUAACAUUUAAAGGUUUUUGGAUAUGAAAAACAGAAGAGAGCGAGAGAGAGAGAAAUAUACCAUAUACAAGAGCAGACCCAUAUACAUACCAAAAUCAGAAGAUACUAAUGGCAGCCUUCAUUACCCCUUCCCCCAUGAAAUCCAUUCUCACGUGGAUUUGUGGGGUAUUUUUGUUUUCCUUCAGUAGUUGAGCAGUUUGUGUGUACAGAGAAAAUGGACUUACAGAAAUCUGCAGCAGUAGUUUUUUUUCUUUGCUUUUAAACAUUGGGUUUUCUGUUUUGUUUUGGUUAAGUUUACGGAUGCAUGAAGUAAGGGAGUGAUUUAGUUUCUUGUUUAUAUUUUUUCACCUUGAAAAAAAAAAAAAGGUGUUUCUUUGAAACAUGUUUUGAUGCAUUCUUUGAAGAGGUAGUUUGAACCUGAUAGUGUUUGGUACAUUUUGUGGCUCCCAGAGCACAAUUUUGUGAACAGAGGGAGGGUGGAAAAGGGAUUAGGGAGAGAGAAGAAAAAAAAAAAUCCUUCUUUGCAGCGUGAUAUUCCACGUCCUUCUCAUCUACAAAGCAGGACAGAAAUGGGUAUAAUGCUAUGUUUGAUUUUUCUGGUGACAUGGCUGAAAUGCAGUAAUUUCUUAUUUGGGACAUAAUUCUGCCAAACUUAAGAACAGAAGGGCACAAAAACACAGGAAAAAAUAAAACAAACAGGGGUGCAAAAAAAAAGGAGAAAAAAAUAAAAGAGGAAAAAUGCAUCUUCUGUUGCUUUAAGACCAUAGCUAAAGUAUGGUUAAAUUGUGCACUAUUGUGAAAAGGAGCAAAGUAUAGCUGGGGGAUUUUGUUUAAGAGGUUAAGAUCUUUCUGGACAAGGGUUCACGCCACAGCUUCUUUGAGAGUUGCCCAUCAUUAUUUGUAGGAGCUUAGAUGUAUAAUUGUAACCAAACUCCAGUAUUAAAAGUAUUUCAUGUAAUUUUUCUUUAUUAAAAUAAAAUCUUUGGCAUAUAUUUGAUAACACUGCCAUUAAGAGGCAAAAUGUUUACUACCUUAGAUUUAAAAAAAAAGAUCUUAAACAGAGGACUUGCUUCAAGUUUAUUUUAAUAGCAGUGAUUCAGCUUAUUUAAAAGAUGAAUACUUGCACUAAUUCCCCUGCUGCUCCAGUCCUGCAGUUUAUUGUAUCUUGUGACUACAUUUUUUUCCAAAUAUAGGGUAGAUGUAAGCUGCUAUUUUUUUAAUAAUCACUACUAUAUAGUGUCUUUUACUCUGUUUACAAUAUCAAGUAUUUUUCUUACAAUGACAGAUGUAUAUGGCAAACCUUUUUCUGCUCAUGUGAUUAAAAGUAUACUAAUAGUGAUUUUAUUUGUAAAUGAUAGCAUGAGGUUGUGUUUAUGCGUAUGUGUAGUCGAAAAGGUUGCAUCAUGUCUUGCAUAAGGUUCCAAGAGUGUAAAUUUAUAAAAAGAGAGGUUGUCAAAUUUAUGUCACAGACAUUUUACUUAAGGAAUGGUUUAUAUUACAGAGCUUUGCAAAGUUAUCGGUUUUAUAACACUAUUUCAAUCACAAUUAAUUUUGUGACUUAUGAUUGUUAGUCUCUAACCUAUUUUUUUAUUCAUUUGGGGUUUUUUCCCCUCUCAAAGUUAAGUAUAAAUUCAUUAAAUUGAGAUAAUGCAGCUUUGACAUUUUAACCAUCGUUCUUUGGGCAUCGAUUUCUGCUAUUUCCAUGAAAUAAACAUGACUUGAAGCAAGUCUGAGUUUGGCUAAGGUAGGGUAGCAAUUUGCCAGUGGUUGAGAGGAGUCAACAAUAAUACAUGGUUUAUAUACACCCCAGGAUUAUACUGCUAUCAUACACAGUGUUUAAAACCAACACCAAGUCAUAUCCAUAAAGACAGUUAUCUGUGGUGGUUCUGUGCCAGCUAUUUUUAGGGUUUUGGAACAUAUUGGAAAUGUUUAGAGCAAUUACCCUGUGAGUUACAAUAUGUAGGAAACCUAAUAUAUUGAGUGUCUGGCACUUGAAAUAUUGCUUUUAUUGCUGGAGGUCCAUGACUGUGGCUGACCUCUGUCAUUUAAUGAAAAAAAAAUAAAAAUAAAAAAAAAAUCUGUGCAAUAAUUUUAAACUGUGCUCCCAGGAAUAGACACAAAUGUUUUGAGUAUGUUUAAGCUGCAUUUUUCAUUUAGCAAUGCAUUUGUCAAUUGCACUGAAUUUAAAUCUGAAAGUCAGAAGUGAUUCUUGAUAGUACUUUUGUAUUUUAAUAUGGACAGUUUAUUCAUUUUCAUAAAAGUUAUUGGAUGAUUCUUUCAGCCAAUCUAAACCGAAUUGUGGUGGAAUUCUGUGACAUAGCUGCAAAAUCACACAGCCAUGUUUUAGGGUAUUGCCAUUUUCCUCUUUCUCAGUCAUCAGCUGUUUUGGUUGCAAUUUGCUUCAGCAUAGCAUCACACACUCAGAAAUAGAGAACACCAGAGCUCCAGCGUGUCCAGGACAGGGCUGUCAGGAACGUCGGCUCCGUUGGCUCGAGCGCUGCGGGCAGAGCCCCGGCCAGGGCCAGCAGUGCCACGGGGCCAGGCCGGUGUCCCCAAGCUGAGGUGUCCCACUGCCACAGGGCCAGGCCGGUGUCCCCAAGCUGAGGUGUCCCACUGCCACAGGGCCAGGCCGGUGUCCCCAAGCUGAGGUGUCCCACUGCCACAGGGCCAGGCCGGUGUCCCCAAGCUGAGGUGUCCCACUGCCACAGGGCCAGGCCGGUGUCCCCAAGCUGAGGUGUCCCACUGCCACAGGGCCAGGCCGGUGUCCCCAAGCUGAGGUGUCCCACUGCCACAGGGCCAGGCCGGUGUCCCCAGGCUGGUGUCCCCAAGCCGAGCUCCAGCCGUAGCUGUCCUGCCUCGCAUGCCACAGUGCUGCUCCUGCGCACCCGGAGCCGCCGCACGCCGGGUUCUGCCACCCUGUCAACCAAAAACCAGACAAAAACACCACAGAACCGUGACUUUAAUUGUUGUUUUGAUAACACAAAGGCCUCGUGUUCCAGGCUGGGGUAGACUGUCCAAAUUGCUCCUUUCAAAGGGGAAGCCAAAUGGCAGCAAGGCCCUGACUUUGUGUAGUGUGUACGUGCGUGCUCAGUCUCAUGGAUGGAGUCAUUCCUAUUUUUAUCUGCUCAACACGAUGACAGGCAAAUAUCCAAACAGAGGAUAAAAGGAAGGGGAAAAGCUGGGCUCAGAAUUAAUGAUGGGGUAAGAAAUGAACUGCUCUUGAGUUCGCUGUCUUUCUGUGCAUCCAUCUCAGAAUCCCGUUUGUCAUUUUUGCAUGACCAGAUCCAGGUUUCUGUAGAGUUUGUCUUUUUCUAUUUUUACUUCACCUUUUUCUGCAUUUUUAAAUUGAUGUAAAGAUUCCCAACCAGUGGACUUUUUAGUGUAGUUAAGAGAAUAUCUAGGUCUUCAUAAAAGCUUUUUUAGACUCUUUGUAAUGUUGAUAAACUGAGUUUAUUCUGGGACUACCAUUGUGCAGGGUUAUUUAGCAUGUCUACUAGAUGAUUGGAAAUCUUAUAUGAAACACUAAAAGUGCCUCUUUUUCUGGGUUGGGUGGAGGGGAGGUAGUAGUUACCAGAGUCAGAACGACAUGGCAUUUCAAAGCAUGUUUCUUGAUUUCGUGACACUUUAAUGCAUCUUGAGAGAAAGGCCAAAGAUUUCUACCAAUUUUAAUUGAUUUUCAUUUUAAAAAGCACUCCUUUUUCCUUACACUGCUUACCUCAUGCUGGGGCGUCUGAUGGGGAAUGUCCUUUGUGUUCAGGGAGAGCAGUGGGUGGCACCGGGCGGCCGUGCCGGUUUGCCAGCAGAGCGACCUCAGCAGCUGGCACCUUUAAUUCAUUAAAGGAGCUUCAUUGCCACUGCAGGCCGGGGGGUUCAGCCUGUAAAUACAAGGCUGUGUGUUCAGCAAAGUGGGGGGGAGCCUUGGGACCUGAUUUUUGCAAUCUUUACUUCCCCAAAAAUCCCACGCUCUGUCACUCCACCCUUGCCAGGGCGAGCGCUGGCGGCGCCGUGCCGAACCCCGGUGCGGAUAAAAUCGGCCUCAUCCCCCGUGUCCGUGGGGUUUCGCCAGAGCAGGGCCUGCUGGAUUUAGCCCAGUUCCUUUUUGGCUGAAGAGCAGGAUAGCUCCUCCCUUCCCAAAGCCCUGUAGAGCCAUUCCCCGGUGGGAUCACUUCCACCCUCUCCAGACGCCUGAAGAAAGCAGAAGCAACAUUGUGGCAUGUUAGCAGCAAAUGCGGCUUCGGGAGACAGCAGUAAAUCUCCAUCAAGAUCCCUGACAUUUUCCGUAGGGAGAGAGACAUGGAGCAGUCCUCACUUCUCCCUCUAGAGAAAGCUCUGAAAUACCACGAGCUGUGAAAGUGUGACUGUCUUCACUGUCAGUCUGGUGGGAGGCAGACGAACCAGGAAAAUCUGCCAUUUCGAGUGGAUUGCAGAUUUAGUGUUAAUAGUGCUUCAGAUCAGUAGUUUUGAGUACAUAAUUCGCUUUCUCUGCCUUUAAGUUUGAAGCUUGACAAUAACUUGAGGCAUGUUUUUGUUUUGUUUUGUUUUUUUAUUUUUAAAUAAUCAUUCAUUUUUACUUCAUAAUGUUUUUUGACAUUUGUGGGUAAAUACAAGAAAACAGUCUGCAUGUUGUUGCUAGUCCAGUGUACUUUGCAAUCUUGUCCUCAACAGACUGCAGUGUGCAGAACAGUAAUUCUAGAAUACAGAAGUAAUUUUCUCUCUCUCCUGACAUUGACAUUGUAGUUGUAAUGGUUUCAUUUGGAGUUACAAAUCCUUUGGGUCUAAUUCUGUGAGCCUACCUAUAGCACUGGAUUAAAAUGUCUGCAUCAUUUCUUCAGUUAUCCAGUUAAACUACAACUGUUGUAAAAGUGUAAACCAGCCCAUGACAGUUUUUUGUACUUGUUUAAAGGACUUUUAUUGUUCAGUUUUCAUGAUUAUUGUCUAAAGAAGACUGAUAUAGAUGUUCUAUACUGUCCUGGACCAUGUUAAUUACACUUUAUGAUGUAUUUUGGUUCUACAUCACAAUGAUUUGUCCCCAAGGCCCUUAUAUCCCUUCUAGGCACAUUUUCUGUUGCAGUUUCCCUUUGCAUUGUAUUGCUUUGACAACUGUAAUUUGAAUCAGAUCUGAAAGAGGUCCAGAAUAAAAUAUAUUUUGAUAUUA
This is an RNA transcript of Onychostruthus taczanowskii (white-rumped snowfinch), 7344 nucleotides long. It is a transcript of the gene named TBL1X receptor 1, with no coding region annotated. Lineage: Eukaryota; Metazoa; Chordata; Aves; Passeriformes; Passeridae. The record is from RefSeq and is a predicted model, not a curated record. The transcript is spliced from 17 exons.